Molecule: non-coding RNA, 3715 nt
Organism: Malus domestica (apple)
Lineage: Eukaryota; Viridiplantae; Streptophyta; Magnoliopsida; Rosales; Rosaceae
Source: RefSeq, a predicted model, not a curated record
CUUCUUUGUGUAAAUUAGGCAAGUUAGGCAAGUUAGGAAAUUAGGCAAGUUAGGCUAGUUAGGCAAGUUAGGCUUAUGUUCUCUUUCUUUUCCUAUAUAAUGUUUCAUCUUGUAAUUGUUUUGAUAUGAAAUACACAUAAAAAUUUCAACAGGUUGUGACUCUACAAAAAUAAGAAUUCUUGCAAAGAAAGCAAAGUGACAUUUUAUUCUUCUUUUCAUGGAGCGCUUUUAUCCACAAUCACCCGGUAAACCUUUCAAAGAAAGGUUGUGACUCUACAAAAAUAAGAAUUGUUGCAAAGAAAGCAAAGUGCCAUUUUAUUCUUCUUUUCAUGGAGCGCUUUCUCCCCCCAUCCGACUAGAGUUAUUUUUCAGUUAUUAUACUUCUCUCACAUAUCAUUUGUGAAAUAAUUUUAACUUCUCCAAUGUAAUAUAUAUUCAAUUAACACAAUAAAUAGGAAAGAAAAAGACAAGCAUCGACAACACAAUAAUAUAAUUUUGGUUGUUAGUGAAAUCAUUGUCUUGUGUACAUGAUUGUCUUUUUCCUUCCUACUAAAUGUGUUUAACUUAACUAGUACAUAGUACAUUACCUUCUAAAGGAAGGUUCAUCGUGUGGUUAUGCACAACCCACCAAGUGAAGGAUGAGUUGCCAUCAUUUGAUUCAUGCAAAAAGAUAUUUGUGGACUCCACAAGUUUUUCUUCUUCCUUUCAUGGACGGUUCACUAUCCUAUUUAACUGAAGCUAUUCUCAAGAUGUUCUUCACCGUCAUGCUGUCUAUUACAUUAGAGAGGCUAAAACCAUUCACAGAGACUAUGAGAGAGAAGAAUAAUAAUUGGAGAAUAGCUUCUGUCGAAUGUGAGAGAGCCCUUCAUGGGAGGAAGAAGAAAAGUUCAUUUUGCUUAGUGAAAGCAGAAAUCAUUCUGUUACUGGUUAUGGUGCAUUUUUCUUUCGUGCACCUUCCAUUCCAAAAUUUCAUUUUCUAAAAACACAAAUCAAAACAUUUGACUUUGGGUGGUUCUUUCCUUCAUCAAGCUCGCCAUUCUCUAUGUCGAACUUUCUUCUCUGCUACCUCACACCUACAUCCCGUAAUUCUCAAUUCACUUGACAAUCAAUCUCUUUCUCUUCUUCGGUAUUCCCCAAUAUCAGCAUGUCGUCAUAUAUCAACCAUUGGUACACUUUUCCUUAUUUUUUUCUCCUGCUUUCAUUUGGUACAUAUAUACUUUUUCACUCGUAUGCAUCAUCAACUUGCACCUUUUGUCUAGAUCAAACUAAAAAGGAGAGAAAAAGGAGAGAGAUUUCACCACACGUGGAGAGAUGACGUCAUGCUGAUAGUGGUGGAGGAGGAGAAGCUGAUCGGGUGUUCGAGCGUUCAGUGAAAUGUAAAUUAGGGACUUCAGGUACGAGGCAACGAGGACGUUUAGGAGAAAAUUUUCAUUAUGACAGGAAUACGGAUGGUACACUACUACAUGUGUUUUUGAAAAUUUUUAUUUUUUAAGUUAAACUUUUUAACACGCAUAUUCUACUAUUUGUAUAGUGACAUGCGAUGUGCCGCUUCGAGUAUUGGUCACACUGAAAAAUCUCUCGGAGAUUUGGGGUGACAAAACUAAAAGUCUAAAAUAUAUACAUAUAUAAAACUAAAUAAAUAAUAAUUUCGAAUCCCAACCUUGACAGCAGCCUUCCAUAUUUUCUAGACUUGGCAGAGAGAUUGAACAAAUUUUUUUUAUUGGAAGCUAACUUAUAAAAUUUUCGUUCGGAUCCAUCCCUCUGCCAAAGUCUUUAUCCCUUCCACGAUAGGGCGGAUUGCUGGCAAGUUUACAAAAGAAGCGUUGUUGCAAGCGUGGGAGUCUAAAUUAUAUUUCUUUAUCUAGGUUUACAUAUGUUUUAGUUUUGCCUCACUAGCAUCAAUUUCUUUGUCUCGUACAAUCUCUCCAAAAAGGAACGCCUGGCUACAGCUUUAUAAACUCGUUUUCUCUAACAAACUUUGGAAUUAUGUUUUCCUUUCCAAAUUAAGUUACAAACCAUGUAUAAUUGGAUUGGAUAUGGUCACAUAGUAAAGACUUUGGAUGUUCAAUUUUGUUAGGUAUUUAAUGAAAUUUGGAGAGUUAUUAUUUCUUGUAGCGAAUAAAAUAUCAAAAAAAUUGGAUCGAGCUCUGCUGAGUAAAGCAAUUUAACCUUUGAAGUGAUCUCAAAUAUUCAUUUGUAUAAUGCUAUUAUGUAUGGUUUGAAAAUUUUAAGAAAGCUAGACUGCCAAUUAUUUUUCACGUGAUAGUGGUGGAGGAGGUCAAAUGACAAUGACAAAUAAUUAAGUGUAUGUGAGUAUACACGAAAGUUAUAGUGGUGAACAAAAAUUCUUCAAAAAACGCUCCUUUAUAUUUCUUGGCUCUAUUUGUUAAAAAAUAUAUAUAUUUUUUCGCACUCUAUUAACAAUAUACUGAUUUUUAUAGCAUUUACGCACACCAUGUAACUUAUUAAAAUAUUAAAACUUACAUGAAAUAACAAAAAAAAAAAAAAAAAAACAACUGGUGAUUUUUUUUCUCAGAGUUUAAUUUUUUUUAAAGCUAGUUUCCUGUCGCUUUUAGCCGACGACAUUGGUCAUCUGUGUCAAAUAAUUUGAAAUAUUUAGGCGGGAAUUUUCCCGCUUGUUUUACAUGCGGAAAUGGAUUGGGAAGAGGAAUGUCAGGUGGGUCAGAGGUGGUGUCGGUUGUAGCCGACGGGACAAUGAAUUGGGAAGAGGGAUGUCAGGUGUGUUAAAUGUGGCAUCGGUUAUAGCCGACAGGAUAGUGACUUGGGAAUAGGGAUGUUAGUUAGAGGUGGUGUUGGUUGUAGCCGACGGGGUAGUGGAUUGGGAAAAGGGAUGUCAGGUGUGUCAGAUGUAGUGUCGGUUUUUCGCGACGCCGGGUUCAUUUGAUUCGAUGUCAGGUACAUUUUCUGGCGAUGUUAACCGACGGCAGCUUUUCAUCCAUAUUUAAACCCAUUUCUUCCCACAUUUCAUCCCUGCAUCCCUUUUCCUCUGCGUUUAAUUCCUUCUUCCCUGUGCGUCCAUUUCUUCCCCAAUUUCAGUUCUCUCUUUCUCCUUCUUCUUCGAGUAGCUUUUGUCAUGGAUGAACAUAUGGAAGAUCAACAUUCUGAGAAACACCAAUUCGAAGAGGAAGAGUUCGAAACUAGUUCAUUUUUAAAUUAUUAUUAUUAUUAUUAUUAUAUUCAGUUUGUGUUUUGUAUUUUGACUAAUAUUAUGCUUAAAUUGAAAAUUGGUUUUUAUUUCUUGGUUUUUAAUUGUUUGUUCUAUAUUAAUAAGGAACAUCUCAAUGAAGAACUCGCGGACUUGCAAUUCCCAAAUGGAUAGGACAACAACCUUGUUCAUUUGAUUCGUCUGGCAAAUGCAUUAGUGAAAAUUCUAGUGCUUUUCCAAAACAUGUAGCAUCAGAGGUUAGAGAUCCUACAAAUCUUCUGUUGACGAGGGAUUGGCGCUUGGUUAAGGAACAAGACAAGGAAGUGUUGUGGAAUAGAAUAAAGGGAAGUGUUAUUUUUCAAGAAGAAGAUUAAAAAAUAUUAUUUUGGAAGAGCAGCUGAGGAGCACUACAACCUUCCUCCUAAUGUGGAUUAUACACAGUGGGCAAAGUUGGUGAGAUAUUGGGAUAAAGAAAGAACAAGGGUAAACCUUUUAUGAUUUAUAUUGUAAUACCUUUAAAUUUGUUUAAUAAAUUCUCUUAUUUUUCAA